ACACAUGAGCACAAUGUAUACAUGUACACGUGUAAACAAAUGCAUGCAAACAUGCAUGUGCACAUUUAUGCAUACACGAAUACCUACACACAAACAUACAAACAUUCUGUGUACACACAUACAUGGAUACACAUGCAUACAUGCACACACACACAUGCAUCCAUGCCUGCAGGCAUGCAUGUGCAGACAUAUGUGUACACAAAUGCAUACCCGCAGAUGCAUGUACACAUGGGUACACACACAU
Molecule: long non-coding RNA, 244 nt
Filed under: Homo sapiens (human)
Lineage: Eukaryota; Metazoa; Chordata; Mammalia; Primates; Hominidae
Description: HSALNT0334811
Source: RNAcentral